Molecule: ribosomal RNA, 253 nt
Filed under: uncultured bacterium
Lineage: Bacteria
Description: partial 16S ribosomal RNA
Rfam family: Bacterial small subunit ribosomal RNA
Source: RNAcentral
UACGUAGGGUGCAAGCGUUGUCCGGAAUUAUUGGGCGUAAAGAGCUCGUAGGCGGUUUGUCGCGUCUGCUGUGAAAUCUGGAGGCUCAACCUCCAGCCUGCAGUUGGUACGGGCAGACUAGAGUGCGGUAGGGGAGAUUGGAACUCCUGGUGUAGCGGUGGAAUGCGCAGAUAUCAGGAAGAACACCGAUGGCGAAGGCAGAUCUCUGGGACGUAACUGACGCUGAGGAGCGAAAGCAUGGGGAGCGAACAGG